CUCCCUGGUGAGGCUCUUCUAGCUGGACGCCCCCUGCUGAGGCUCUCCUACCCGGACGCCCCCUGCUGAGGCGCUCCUACCUGGAAGGCCCCCUCUGAGAUGCUGUGCAGCUGGUUGUUGGCCAGGAUGAGGUGC
Molecule: long non-coding RNA, 135 nt
Organism: Xiphophorus couchianus (Monterrey platyfish)
Lineage: Eukaryota; Metazoa; Chordata; Actinopteri; Cyprinodontiformes; Poeciliidae
Exons: 3
Source: RefSeq, a predicted model, not a curated record